GGCUGACUCAUCGCCGUGCAGCCGGCAACCACCGCGGCAAGUGCGGGCCCCUGCUGCUCCCGCACAGCUAUCUGUGUCAGCCGGGGCUAUUUCCAGCUCUCGCCGCGCUCCCGGCUCCGCCGAGAGCUGUCAGCAGAACCUUCAGCACGGGAGAACUGCUACAGAAUUUCACUGGAAAAACCACAUUAAUCAUCUCAGCACCGCCUCCCUGGCCUUUGUCACAGUUUGGUGCCCCAGCGCCGGCUUUAAAAGCAUUAUUUAUUUUUAAUAAAAGCUGA
This is a non-coding RNA of Lonchura striata (white-rumped munia), 278 nucleotides long. The record is from RefSeq and is a predicted model, not a curated record. Lineage: Eukaryota; Metazoa; Chordata; Aves; Passeriformes; Estrildidae.